AAUGUGUCCACCCUUAUGGUCAGGCAGAGGGUUGUUGCGGACAUUGGGAGUGAGCUCUUAUGCUAUGAUGACCUUAUUAUCAAUCAAGGUCUGAAUCUUAUCUUUCAAUGAGCGACACUUAUCGAUAGUAUAGCCUUUAGUUCCAAAAUGGUAUGCGCAGGUUUUGUUGGGAUUGAUCCAUUUGGAGUCAUUUUUUGGGGUUAUGGCCGGGAUAAGUGUAAUUUAACCAGCUACUUUGAGUCUUUCAUAUAGUUGGUCGAUUGGUUCGACGAUGGCAGUAUAUUAUCUGGGAGGCCUUCGGUCGAAGUUUGGUCUGGGUCGAGGAAAAUUUUGGCAAGUAGGUGUUGAUGGC
Molecule: long non-coding RNA, 352 nt
Filed under: Nicotiana benthamiana
Lineage: Eukaryota; Viridiplantae; Streptophyta; Magnoliopsida; Solanales; Solanaceae
Description: long non-coding RNA (NBEN_LNC007631)
Source: RNAcentral